Long non-coding RNA from Hippocampus zosterae (dwarf seahorse), 1758 nucleotides. RefSeq lists it as uncharacterized. The record is from RefSeq and is a predicted model, not a curated record. The transcript has 3 exons. Lineage: Eukaryota; Metazoa; Chordata; Actinopteri; Syngnathiformes; Syngnathidae.
ACUGAUUUUCAUCCCAACCACUUCAUACUCAGCUGCGAAACGCUCAAGUGAGAGUUGAAGGGCCCUGCUUGAAAGAGCCAACAGUCCCACAUCAUCUGCAAUAAGCAGAGAUGUAAUACUGAGGCCACCAAAAUGGACCCCCAUCAACACUUACACUGCGCCUAGAAAUUGCCAAUGUCCGUAAUGUUUAUGAACAGAAUCGAUGACAAAGGGCAGCCUUGGCGGAGUCCAACCCUCACUGGAAACGAUUCUGACUUACUGCCGGUAAUGUGAACCAAAUUCUGACAUCUGUGGUGGAGGGACCAAAGUGCCCGCAUCAGGGGACUCGGUACCUCAUACUCCUGAAGCAAUCAUAUAAUGUAAUAUCGUACUCAAAUGUGUAAUGCAUAGAUUUUUAUUCUGGGUGAGGGAAUUUUCGUUUGACAGAAGUCAAUAGAUGGCAAUACUUACUGUAAUUAUGUUUCAUUGAACAAUUAUAAUAUUUAAGUCUGGUUUAAAAAAUAUGAACAGGUAUAUACAUUUGUGUUAUUACAGUUGCUGAAACAUAUAGAUGUUGCUUGAAAUUUAUCAUGCUCCCCUCAAAACAGACCGCAGAGUAAAAUAAAAGUUAAAGGCUGAGCAAUUUUAGUUUAUCGUUGGCCAUGAAGGGGGGAGGGGCUGUUCCCAGCUCCAAACCCUCGCAGUUGCACUGUUUGAACCUAGUUUAUUCAGCUCCCCUCCCCCACACUAGUUUGAGCACGUGAUCAACUAGGAGCGCGGUUCAUACAGCAGCAACAAAGCUUUGCAAGAAGAGUUGAGUGUUGCAGUCGUGUCCCCAGAAAAUCUAAUUCGUUUUUUUCUGCUUUGGACAUCGAAACUGUAUAAUACGAAUUGCAUCCAAUAAGUAAAUAAUAAUGAUGUUUCAUCACAAUUCCAUAUUAGCAUUUGGGAAUAAUGUUGCUUUCAGAACAAUUACAAUAUUUUAAGUCGUUUUUAAAAUAUGUGUGUGUGUGUAUAUACUGUAUAUAUAUACAGUAUGUAUAUACACACACAUGUAUAUAUGCUGUGCUCAUUUUAGGAGUACAUGACAUUGGUGUAAACAAGAGUUCAUAAAAUAUGUUGAUAUUGCUUGACAUUUACUAUGCCCCACUUCAAAACGGACCUCAGAGGAAAAGUGAAGGAGUUUUGGUUAUGAAGGGGCGGGGCUGUUUUCACACCCCAAAACGUCACAGUUACGUUGCAGGAAACGAGUUUCUACAGCUACCCUCCCCCACAUCACACUCGCUGACCAUCAAUUAGGAAACGCGCGCUUUGCUACCUGCACAAAAGGAAGGCGUUGAGAAGAGUGAGCGUACGAGUCAGCAUCAUCGAGAAAACCCCAGAAAGUGACAAAUACUUCAGAAUUAAAGCAGAUGGACAAUCCCACUGAAGAUGGUGAUUAUUCUGACUCAAGUCUUUUUGGAUCAGAUGAGGAAUACAAACCAACUAAGACAUCCUCUGAGUCGAGUGAUGACGAGGAGAUAUUCCAUCCAAAGGUAGAAAAAUUGUUCUUAUGAUACAUCCAGUGAAGACUCUACAAGUCAUCAGACAUAUGAAGCAGAGGAGCACAGUCAUGUCUGCAAUUCGUAAAGAAGCCCCAAAAAGGGAAAAGCAUCUCUCCAAAAGAGGGAAGACUGAAUUGGAUGGUAAGCUUUGGAUGAGGAACUAUAUCUCUUUUUUCAUAAUUUAACCAGUUAAAAUGCAUGCAACGUAUUUGACAAUGAGUGUCAAAUCAGGGAU